AUAUAACGUUGAACCACCGGUUCUCGUACGAUCACCAAAGUUAAGCAACGUCGACCCUGAUCAGUACCUAGAUAGAUGACCGCUUGAGACUACCAGGUGCU
Acanthosepion pharaonis is the source of this 101-nucleotide non-coding RNA. Lineage: Eukaryota; Metazoa; Mollusca; Cephalopoda; Sepiida; Sepiidae. The record is from the annotation of a GenBank genome assembly.